GAUGAAGAACGCAGCGAAAUGCGAUAAGUAGUGUGAAUUGCAGAAUUCAGUGAAUCAUCGAAUCUUUGAACGCACAUUGCGCCCCUUGGUAUCCCGAGGGGCAUGCCUGUUCGAGCGUCAUUUCACCACUCAAGCCUGGCUUGGUGUUGGGCGACGUCCUCUUUGGGGACGCGCCUCGAAACGCUCGGCGGCAUGGCACCGGCUUUAAGCGUAGCAGAAUCUUUCGCUUUGGAAGUCGGGGCCCCGUCUGCCGGAAGACCUGCUCGCAAGGUUGACCUCGGAUCAGGCAGGGAUACCCGCUGAACUUAAGCAUAUCAAUAAGCGGAGGA
Molecule: unclassified non-coding RNA, 329 nt
Filed under: soil metagenome
Description: partial contains 5.8S ribosomal RNA, internal transcribed spacer 2, and large subunit ribosomal RNA
Rfam family: 5.8S ribosomal RNA (bases 1-120)
Source: RNAcentral